GUAGGUGGCAAGCGUUGUCCGGAAUUAUUGGGCGUAAAGCGCGCGCAGGCGGCUCUUUAAGUCUGAUGUGAAAGCCCACGGCUCAACCGUGGAGGGUCAUUGGAAACUGGAGAACUUGAGUACAGAAGAGGAAAGCGGAAUUCCACGUGUAGCGGUGAAAUGCGUAGAGAUGUGGAGGAACACCAGUGGCGAAGGCGGCUUUCUGGUCUGUAACUGACGCUGAGGCGCGAAAGCGUGGGGGAGCAAACAGGAUUAGAUACCCUGGUAGUCCACGCCGUAAACGAUGAGUGCUAAGUGUUAGGGGGGUUCCGCCCCUUAGUGCUGCAGCUAACGCAUUAAGCACUCCGCCUGGGAGUACGGCCGCAAGGCUG
Molecule: ribosomal RNA, 371 nt
Filed under: uncultured organism
Description: partial 16S ribosomal RNA
Rfam family: Bacterial small subunit ribosomal RNA
Source: RNAcentral